GCUGGGAUGAUGUAGUUGGUUAUCACGUCUGUCUAACACACGAAGGUUUCAUUGCCUCCCUGUGUGUGCACAGAAGGUCCCGAGUUCAAGUCUCGAUCCUAGUA
Molecule: transfer RNA, 104 nt
Filed under: Friedmanniomyces endolithicus
Lineage: Eukaryota; Fungi; Ascomycota; Dothideomycetes; Mycosphaerellales; Teratosphaeriaceae
Description: tRNA-Val
Source: RNAcentral